This 253-nucleotide ribosomal RNA is filed under the name uncultured bacterium. RNAcentral describes it as "partial 16S ribosomal RNA". It matches the Rfam family "Bacterial small subunit ribosomal RNA", at positions 524 to 776 of the family's 1533-position model. The record is from RNAcentral.
UCCGUAGGGGGCAAGCGUUGUCCGGAAUCAUUGGGCGUAAAGAGCGUGUAGGCGGCCAGCUAAGUCCGCUGUGAAAUCUCGAGGCUCAACUUCGAGCUGUCGGUGGAAACUGUCUGGCUAGAGUCCGGAAGAGGAGAAUGGAAUUCCUGGUGUAGCGGUGAAAUGCGCAGAUAUCAGGAAGAACACCCGUGGCGAAGGCGGUUCUCUGGGACGGUACUGACGCUGAGACGCGAAAGCGUGGGGAGCGAACAGG